AAAAAUGUCUAUAUAUUUCGAAAAUAGAUGACAAAGACCAACUUUUGUUGAAUUCUAAGGAAAAGGGGAUUUCUGAGGACCAGAGUGGCCAUGCAUCGCUUCCCAUAAGAGGUGGCUCGCACCGGGGGGCUGAAGAUUGUGGUGGCAGGAAGGGGACCUCUGUGACUCCUCGGGGAUGGCCCCAUCUCAGGAUGGCCAGGAAGGCGGGCCCCGGCAGCUGCGUUCAGGGCGGAUGGGGCCCCUCAAGGUGAGGUCGAGGAGGCCGCCCUUCCUCCUCUCCAUCUCUGAGGACCGAAAGCAAAUUCAGUGCCAAGUCAGAAUGGGAGAGACGCCACCCAGGAAGCAGCCCGCCCCACGCGGCCAGGAGCGAGACUGGGCACUCCUCCCACCCACAGCCACGACACUUCCUCUGCAGGACCCUUCCCUGUGGGGCCGGGGGCUCUCCAGGCCUGGCUGCCAGCAGGAUGACCCCAGAGGGAUGGCCACAGGUCAAGAGUCAGGAGGCACGGCCUGUCCUGUGGGAAUCACAAGACGCCCAGCCCGACAUCCCUCUCGAAGAUUCCAGCUCUGGGUCCAGACCCCCCAGUUUUAGGUUCACAGAAAAACUGAGCAAGAAGUACAGAGAAUUCAUCAACAAGCUCCCUCAGGUGACUCUACUGUGGCCCAGGUGGGAACCCCACAUGAGCGCCAGCGCAGCAUCCAGAGGACCAGAGAAUGGUCCCCGGCCCACCCCGCCCAGUGCCUGUAGAGGCGGGAGCUGCCACCAGAGAGCCGGAAGAACCCGGGAAGAACCCGGGACCCCCGGCUAAUUCAUGGAUCAACAAACUCCAGCCCUCAGGCCAAAUCUGGCCCCACCACUUGUUUGGGUACAGCCCACAAGCUAGGAGUGGUUUUACAUUUUUUAAUGGUUGGAAAAAAUAUCAGAAGAUUUCGUGAUGUGAAAACAUUUACUAGGGGGCCCGUUACAGAAAAAGUUUACCGACCCUGCACCAUGAGAUUCCACCACCGGGGAGCCGCCCCUCAGGAAGGAGCCCAGCUCCGAUUCCCCCCAGGCCUUACAGGUCCCCUCCCUGUGCUCAGGGGGCUGCAGGUGCGGCCAGCAGGGGUGAACCUGCUCUUCUGAGAGCCUUCCCUGUCACUCCCCCCAACACUGCCAGCUCCUCCACCGACCUCUAGCUGGGUCUGUUCUGCUUGUUUGUACCGUCUGGCUGUCUAGAGGCCCGAGGAGGAAAACCAAGCCGGCACAGAGCACAGCCGGCUGACCCUGCGCUCUCCGGAGCAGAGCCCAGGCUGUCUGUCCACACAAGGGCUGACUCAGACCCUCCUCUCCGGCCUCAAUGGUUUUCAUUGAUUCCUGUCCUGAAAAUGUCCCCAAGCUUCACCACCUUUCUCUGCUACAGAUCAAAACAUGGUCUGUCUGGGAGCCACAGUGCAGGCUGCUCUGGGUCCCCUGCAUUCCUGGCCCACGGGGCGUCUACUCUGACCUGUAAUAGACGCUGGCAGAGGCCUACCUGGAGUGAUUGAAGAGGCUCUGGAAAGGCUUUCAGAAUAAAAACACCCCCACCCGCCAUGGUCUGAAGGAUUUCCACCCAACAGACAGACUUUCACAAUGCAAACCACUCUAUCUUUCAGUGAAUUAAUUUAAUGAGACUGUCCAGCUCACGGCCACUAGGACAGCCUGGCAUGGAGGGGGCUGGGGGCUGGGCAAGGGGUGGGAUGAGCUCCUGGGUGCUGUGCUCUCAGCACAGUGGCCGCAGGGAAGGGUGCAGAGGACAGAACCACAGCGACAUGCUUUUCGGAAGGGGCACCGAUGACCCGGCCAGCAGGGGACACUGAUGCCAGAGUUGGGGACACCCAGCUCUGAUCCUAAGCCAGAGCCUCCAGGGGCUGUUCUCCCACCCAACCCAGGGAGCAAGCCAGGGCCGGCGGGCAGGGAGGAACCCGGACUAUUCUUUCCAAAGCCUGGGCCUGCCCCAGUCCGGCUGGCGGGGUGGGGACGGGAAGGGGAAGAGCGAGGGCCUGAGCCCAGGGCACGGACGUUAGUUCUGCUCUGCAGGAUCCAGAUUAAACAGCUCCAGGCAGGAAGCCCGCCUUCUCCAAGAUUGGUCAGGAAGUCAUGAUGCAAGUUUGCGCUUUUUUUUUUUAAACACGAAAGAGAAAAAGAGAUUCGUGCCCCCCUCACCAGCACUCCGGCCCUUCCCAUAGGGGCAGACAAUCUCCUCCCUGGCCGGCGACCCUCCUCUCCAGCGCCCCGGGCGAAGGCACCAGCCGCGCUCUCGGGGGCACUCGCCUCCCGCUCCCGUGGGCGCUGGGGUGCCAUCCCUCUGCCACCCGCUGCCGCCCUCCCAGCCCGGCGCUCGGACGGGGACCCCGCCGAGGCCGCCCGCGCCGCCCCGGCCUCCCCGGCGCUCUCAUGCUUCUGGAAUGCGGGCGCCCAGGGCCGCGCGUCCCGGGGAAUCUCUGCGCCCGCCCGCGCACGGCCCUUGCCCGGCCGGGAAGUAGGGAGCGGGGACGCAGCCCCUGUCCCAGCCCAGAGCCCGCCGCGCCCGCCCCACU
Molecule: long non-coding RNA, 2556 nt
Filed under: Equus asinus (donkey)
Lineage: Eukaryota; Metazoa; Chordata; Mammalia; Perissodactyla; Equidae
Description: lncRNA (ENSEASG00005036128.1)
Source: RNAcentral